This 726-nucleotide ribosomal RNA is filed under the name Triticum aestivum (bread wheat). Its description in RNAcentral is "partial small subunit ribosomal RNA". Lineage: Eukaryota; Viridiplantae; Streptophyta; Magnoliopsida; Poales; Poaceae. The record is from RNAcentral.
AUGUUCCUGCCCCGUAACCUCCCGCGGUUCGCCAAAGGCGAGCUCCCCCGCACGCCGCCGUCGAGCAAGAAGGAGCUGUUCCGGCGCCUCUCCGACCAGCCAGCUCUCCUCCCACACAAGUUGAUGAGCAUGCAGCUGGACAGGGCUACCGGCGCCCAGCGCUUCACGCUUUCGGCGAGGGCGCUGCAGAACCGGGCACCUGUAGCUUCGCUUUCCAACUGCAGCAAAGGAAACAAAAGGAUCUUCUCCGAAGCCGCUCAGUUCUAUCGUGUCAAUGAGUUGGAGAUCCGGGCCAAGGUACAAAGGAAGAUGCUCUCACAGAACACAACAUAUGCCGUAUACUUGGUGUUCAAGCUAGAAUAUGUAUACUAUGAGUUCGGAUUCCCGUACGAGGUGGCCUCCGUUGGUGUUGCUGGGAGGGAGUCGACCCGACUAGUUUCCGUGCAAGGCAACAUCAAGGAUGGAGAUGGGGAUGGCAAUGCGCCUCAUAGACACAUCUUUCAAGGUUGCAGAGGGACUCUUAGUUGUGACGCAAUUACUUCAGGAGAGGACAUUCAUUUCCCUCGUGAAAAUGCCGAUGGCUGGAUGGAAGUGGAGUUGGGUGAGUUCCAUAAUGACGAAGCCGACGAUGGUGGUGAGGUGUCCAUCAGCUUCACGGGAGAAAGCAAGUCUUGUCUUAAAGUGUUGGGCAUUGAACUCAUAAGUAAGCAACAAAAGCCUACAUAA